This is a long non-coding RNA of Cyanistes caeruleus (blue tit), 1683 nucleotides long. RefSeq lists it as uncharacterized. Lineage: Eukaryota; Metazoa; Chordata; Aves; Passeriformes; Paridae. The record is from RefSeq and is a predicted model, not a curated record.
CUGCCUUCAGCCAGAAGCCCGUCAAGAAGAUGCAUUGACACAAAAGACAGCAGUAAAAUAUUUAAAGAAUAGCUUGUCCAGUGGUAUAUUUUAUAUAUUUUUAGUUUGCACUAUAUAAAGCCUUUCUGCGUGAAUCCAAGCUCUUUCCUUUAGGAAUUUACCAGAAACAGGUUCAUAGUAGUUAUUUACCAGAAAACACUCUGACAUGUCCAGUGAGGGAGAUCCUACCCACCUGUGAGCAUGAGGAUGAGGAGUUUGUUUGCUCCAAGGGAGGAAGACAGAAGCAGUGACUACCUGUGGCUUGAUGCUGAUCAUCUCCUCUCCUGGCUUUGGUGAUCCAGCAAAGUCUGAAAAAUCCUGGCGUGCAAUUCACUCCUAACUUUCUGUGUGCCGAAAUCUGAGAUGAUGUUUUCAUGGUGCUCCUAAACCAAGAUCUUGUUCCAGCCCAUCAUUUCAAUCUGUGUUUUGAAACCCCGCUUAAUCCACUUCCGAUCCUUCCCACAUGGAACCAGCAGCACAGCUUGAUCCUCACAGCAACUAAAUUUUCCACACAGAGAGCUGUGAUCAUUUCAUGGAGAGACAGAAGGCAGCUGAGAUAAAUGUCAGUGGAAUAUGUGGCUGCUAAAUGUGAGCAGCAAAAGCAGUAGUCACCCAAGGCUCAUGAGAGUGUGUGCCACCUCCUCCUUGUUCACCUGCCAGGGAUGUGGAAAAGCAGCUGCAAUUCAGGGAGGCAGCACGGACUGUGGGAUUUGAAAUCACACCCAGAGUCGUGGAGCCAAAUCUCUGUGACUGCAAACUCCAGCUGAGUGUGUGAGAGCUGCAGACAGUGAGAGCUGCAAACCUGGCCACACAUCCCCACUCCUUCCAGGAGCACAACUGCAGCCAGGGCCCUGGGGACUUGUGCAGUGUCUUCCAUCCAUCUGAAGUCCUUUGGAGAACUGGGCAAGCUGGCUUUGCCUGGAAAGGGAGGAUGGGUUAUCCUACUGGAAACCAGCUGGAAUGAGCACAGACCAAAGCUACCCUGAGACACAGCAGUGGAAAACAUUGGAGGAGGAAAUUGCAGAAAACUAAUUCUACCCUUUGGAUAAGACCCAGCAGGAUCAAUUCUGCCUGUUCCUCAGAGUUCUCUUUGUGAUGGUUCUGGAGGGAUUGUCACUGUGGGUGUUGUGCCUGUCACUAGGUGGGAGGAGUGGAUGAGAAGCAACUGUUCAGUGAUCCUCUAUCCUGCUGGGCUUGGGUACCCACUUGCUGGAUGCUUUUCUCCCAUCCAACAUGUUUGGAAAAACGAGUUUUUCCUCUUCCAGAAUUUCUGACCAGCUCAUUCCUACUCCACACUUGUUUGUCCCUUUGUGGACCCUUGUUUUAUUUUUAUAUUCUGGAGAAGCAGAUGUUUGGAGAGAGAGAUGGUGUGUCUGAAGUGCUGCAUCAUCUCACCUCUAAAGGAUUUUCUGUCUCAGGAGAGUUUUCUUUUCCAUCCUCUUCUCACCAGCCAGAUUUUUUUUCUGGGAAUUGCCUUCCUGAAUCUGCCAAUCCCUUUUUGUCAUAUCUGCUGUAUUCCCUGGCUGCAAAGAGAGAAUUUUCAAGCUGGUUACCAUAGUAAGGAUUGACAAACCCUUGUCUGGAAAGAAAGGGCUUCUGAGAAGGCAGAUUGUCAUUACAGACCAAAAUAUUCCCAUUAAAGAC